ACCUGCUCUGCACCUACCUAAGCCUGGUAGCAGAAGGAGCACCUCUCUCCAUGGCUGGCGUUGAAGGGUUCCCAUGGUCUCCCAGAAGGCACAAAGAUAGGCUCUUAACUAAAUCAGACUCACCUUAGUUUCGGAGGGUGACGUGCCAGGUCCUGCCAGGAAGGCAAAAGCAGCUCACCCCAGCUGCUCUACCAAGUACCCAACAGAGGGUGAGAUCACAGUGAAUAGGUGCAGUCUAUGAACCUGGAAUCAGGCCCUCACCAGACACUGACUCUGACAGCAUCUUGAUCUUGGGUGUCCCAGUCUCCAGAGCUGUGGGAGGACAAGACCAGACCCAGACCCUCCGCCUUCCCAUUCUUUGCCUCAUAAAUGAUUGACUGAUCUCCUUGUUGCCACUGAUGAAAUGGAACAAAAUACCUGUUAGACAAAGAUUAAGAUUUGGUUACCCUCAGCCAAAGCCUGCAGACAACUCCUCCAGGGAAGAAACUAGCUUCAGCCUCCUUUUGACCACAGAAGAGAACUGAUGACCAGACUGUGGACACAGGGUAGAGGUCUGAAGGGAAGAGAUGGAGAGUGGAUACCAGCAGAGGUGGAGAGAGCUGGCAAAAGAUCUCGCUCCCUGGCGGUCUGAUGGAUCUGGAAAAGCAUUUGCCACAACUCUAUUUUUACCCUGCACAUUUCCACCUACAUGGAUCAAAUGUGUUCCAACUUUCCAGCACUCAGUCUCCCAGUUUACUGCUUGUCAGAAGCACUGACUACUGCCAUCAAUAAUUUACAGCCUUUAAAUGUGGAAGCUCCACUGUUCCUGGAACACACACUUACCUGAUAGUGGUGGAUUUUUAACCAGAGCCCAUAGUAUCAGGUUAAUUAAGUCGUAGUCACUGUUCCACCCUCCAAUUAAUGCCAUUUAAUUCCCAAAUAAAUAUACUGCAAAUUUA
Macaca mulatta (Rhesus monkey) is the source of this 938-nucleotide non-coding RNA. The record is from RefSeq and is a predicted model, not a curated record. Lineage: Eukaryota; Metazoa; Chordata; Mammalia; Primates; Cercopithecidae.